This 1068-nucleotide ribosomal RNA is filed under the name Metacrangonyx samanensis. RNAcentral describes it as "16S ribosomal RNA". Lineage: Eukaryota; Metazoa; Arthropoda; Malacostraca; Amphipoda; Metacrangonyctidae. The record is from RNAcentral.
GUAUUGAAAAGGAAUGUUUUACUAUCAAAUAGAAAAGUUUAAAUUUUAUACCUUUUGGAUCAGGGUUGAAUAAUAUUUUAUAUAUAAACAGAUUUCGAAAUUACUUNAUUUAAAAAAAWAUUAUUUUAUUUAUAAAAAUAAAAAAAAAAUUUUUUUUUUAGAGAUGAAAAUUCUUACGAAGGUAAUAAUAUCUAGUUGAGUCCGAAAUAAAAUAAAUUUAUUCCUUGUAGAGGAUAAGUCUAAUUGGGUAAGCUAAUUAGAUUUAAAUAGUAUAAAUAUAAUAUUAAAAUCUAGGCUUUUAAUUAGCUAUGUUUAUAGUUUGUAUUAAAUAAUUUUUUUUUUAAAAAAAAAAUAUUUUAAAUUAAGUCUCUAAGCUACAAAAUUCAUAAAUAGUUAUAAAAAUGGUUAAAUUAGUAUUUUUUUUUUGUUAAUUUUUAUGAACUCAAUAAUAUUUUGACUGUUUAACAAAAACAUUUUUUUCUGUUUAAUAGAAAGUAAGACCUGCCCAGUGAGAUUUUUAACGGCUGCAGUAUUUUGACUGUGCUAAGGUAGCAUAAUAAAUUGUUUUUUAAUUGAAAACUGGGAUGAAAGGUUUGACAAUUUAUAAGUUUAUUAAAGAUAGGAAAUGAAUUUUUACUAUAAGUAAAAAUACUUAUAUAUUAUAGAGGGACGAUAAGACCCUAGAAGCUUAUAUUGAUUUAUUUAUAUAAUAAUUAUAUUUAAUCUAUAUAAAUAAUUAUAUUUUGGUUGGGGAAACAGAAAUUAUAAUAAUAAUUUUAUAUUUUAAUUAUACAAAAUUUUAAGAUCUUUUAAAUAAAAAGGAAAGGAUUAAGUUACUCUAGGGAUAACAGCGUAAUAGUUCUGGAUAGACCUUAUAUAUAGAGCUGAUUACGACCUCGAUGUUGAAUUAAAAAAUCUUAUUAAAGUAGAAAUUAAUUUAGAGGGUUUGUUCAACCUUUAAUUUUUUACAUGAUUUGAGUUCAGACCGGUUCAAGCCAGGUCGGUUUCUAUCUUCUAUAAAAUAAUUUUUUUUUUUUAGUACGAAAGGACCAAAAAAAAUUAAUACUU